RNAcentral lists this ribosomal RNA (459 nucleotides) under Ellobium scheepmakeri. RNAcentral describes it as "partial 16S ribosomal RNA". It matches the Rfam family "Bacterial large subunit ribosomal RNA", at positions 1809 to 2607 of the family's 2925-position model. The record is from RNAcentral. Lineage: Eukaryota; Metazoa; Mollusca; Gastropoda; Ellobiida; Ellobiidae.
AAAAACAUAGCCUUGCGUAACGAUGUAAGGUAAGCCCUGCCCAGUGAGAAAUUAAAUGGCCGCAGUACCCUGACUGUGCUAAGGUAGCGUAAUCAGUUGGCUUUUAAAUGGAGUCGAGAAUGAAUGGGUCCAUGGGGGGCGGCUGUCUCGUUUUCGUUAAGUCGAACUUAUUUAGCAGGUGAAAAUACCUGCGAGCAGAAAAAAGACGAGAAGACCCUUAGAGUCUUGAUAAAAAGGUUUGGGUAAAUCCGGCGUUUUUGUUGGGGCGACAGUGAGGCAGAUUUUAACCCUCAGUAAAUAGAGAUAGCAGGACGAAAGUGAUAAGGAAGAUAAGAUUACCUUAGGGAUAACAGCAUAAUCUUAAAAUUAGCUUUGUGACCUCGAUGUUGGACUAGGAACUUUAUGACUAGCCGUCAUAAGAGUAAGUUCUGUUCGAACUUCGCGCUCCUACGUGAUCUG